CUCUCUCUAUCAUUAUUAUUAUUAGUUGUUAUGGUAUAUUCAUGUAGAACAACGAUUAAAUUUGUGUUUUCCCAAUGUGUAACAGGUUCGAAUGAUAUUCGGCUCAACAUUCAAAGAAUGAUUCUAGCCGACCUGACUAAUGUGUUGACAAGCGGUAGUUUUGUACCUAUCGCAGCCGUUGUGAAACAGCGAACCCCCGGAGCAAGUCGACUAUCCAAGAAGAAUUUGAAAAGACCAGCGGGAAUAGUGGUGGCUAUACCCUGCUCACCGCUGGCCAUAGAUCAGCCACAAAUUCAGUUUAAAAAGGCUCGCAAGGACGCCGCACAUAGUGUUUUAGCUCCGGAGAAUUUUAACCAGGUUAUCCAGGCAGUCAUAAACCCGCAAAUCGCGCAACAUGGGGCUGUAUGGUCUAAUUCCAAACACCAAGUGAUCGGUGCUGUCGAGGUGCAUGUGUCUGCAUCGCCUACAGAGACCGUCACAGUGCAACCGGAUGGGACUAUACAACACGCCCAUGGAGAUCCCCAGUGUGUGCCACUACCAGUGUUGACCGCCGAUGAUUUGGCUGGUCUUGACGACCUCUCGUCCUGGACUUCAUCACUGCUGGAUCAUAUCGACUUCACUCCAGCUCAGUGGAUCGACUCUCCUGCUACAUCCUUAGGGGCUACCAUCAGUGCAGAGCCUGUGCAACACCACCAGCCUGCAGAUCCUGCAUCUGGAUCCCUACAUGCCAUUCAAGACCCUAGCCGCGACCCCCCGUGCAUCGUGAGUCUCAGCACUCAAGAGGUAGCGGUGCCGC
This is a long non-coding RNA of Gadus macrocephalus (Pacific cod), 796 nucleotides long. RefSeq lists it as uncharacterized. The record is from RefSeq and is a predicted model, not a curated record. The transcript is spliced from 3 exons. Lineage: Eukaryota; Metazoa; Chordata; Actinopteri; Gadiformes; Gadidae.